This 216-nucleotide unclassified non-coding RNA is filed under the name Hevea brasiliensis (rubber tree). The record is from RNAcentral. Lineage: Eukaryota; Viridiplantae; Streptophyta; Magnoliopsida; Malpighiales; Euphorbiaceae.
GCCGACUUCUUGCAAGAAGUGACAUCAAAGAAGGAUCAACCACAAUAUUGGUCAAGGAGGAAUGAGCAUUAUAGGUUUAUCUCAUCGAAAGAAUUUUCUGACGCGUAUCAGUCUUUCCAUGUUGGGAGGAAACUAGGCGAUGAGCUUGCGAUCCCAUUUGACAGGACUAAAUGCCAUCCUGCUGCUUUGACUAAUGAAAAGUACGGUAUAGGAAAG